Molecule: unclassified non-coding RNA, 529 nt
Filed under: Hevea brasiliensis (rubber tree)
Lineage: Eukaryota; Viridiplantae; Streptophyta; Magnoliopsida; Malpighiales; Euphorbiaceae
Source: RNAcentral
UGAAAGAUACCCUGGAACGUGCAAGGGAGCCAAACCUGAAUUUGAAAGCCUAUCUCCAAAAUGCAUAUAUGCAUCCAGUUUUCAAAGGUGAUGAUGACGAGGAAGAUGAAGAUAUAAGUGAAAAAUUGGAGAUUGAGAGUGUGCUAGUCCCUACAAAACGCCAAUCGCGAAGAAAUACGCCUGUGCCUAGCAGAAUUAGUGGUGCAUCUUCACCAUCAUCUUUGACAGAUGUUAUUAAGGAACAUCCAGAGCCUUAAAAACUCCUACGCAUGAGCCUUUAAAUCUCACUAUACAUUGCAGCUUACUAGGCCAGAGUAGCGACAUUGUAGAAUAAAGGAAGGAGAAAGAAAAGAGGCCAAGUUACAAUCAUUCAAAUAUACCAACAAGAAAUGACAGGCUCUGGAUUGUGGUAAAUUGACAUCUACUCAAGUAUGAAUGUAGAUAUUUUGAGUGUAUGAUAAAAAGUAGAUUUUUUUGUGGGCAUUUCUCAUAUUGCUUUGUAUUGUUACCAUUGGAAAAAGAACAUCUG